RNAcentral lists this transfer RNA (69 nucleotides) under Rattus norvegicus (Norway rat). It matches the Rfam family "tRNA". Rfam says of the family: Transfer RNA (tRNA) molecules are approximately 80 nucleotides in length. Their secondary structure includes four short double-helical elements and three loops (D, anti-codon, and T loops). The record is from Rfam by way of RNAcentral. Lineage: Eukaryota; Metazoa; Chordata; Mammalia; Rodentia; Muridae.
GGAGAUUUAGCUCAGUGAUAGAGCGCUUGCCUAGCAAGCGCAAGGCCCUGGGUUCGGUCCCCAGCUCCA